UACGUAGGGAGCAAGCGUUGUCCGGAUUUACUGGGUGUAAAGGGUGCGCAGGCGGAUUAGUAAGUCAGGGGUGAAAUCUCACGGCUCAACCGUGAAAUUGCCUUUGAUACUGCUAAUCUUGAGUUCGGGAGAGGUCGAUGGAAUUCCAGGUGUAGCGGUGAAAUGCGUAGAUAUCUGGAAGAACACCAGUAGCGAAGGCGGUCGACUGGCCCGUAACUGACGCUCAGGCACGAAAGCUGGGGAGCGAACAGGAUUAGAAACCCUAGUAGU
RNAcentral lists this ribosomal RNA (270 nucleotides) under uncultured bacterium. Its description in RNAcentral is "partial 16S ribosomal RNA". It matches the Rfam family "Bacterial small subunit ribosomal RNA", at positions 524 to 794 of the family's 1533-position model. The record is from RNAcentral.